AUCACACGCAGAGUUAGGAGAAGAACCGAGUACCAACAGGGUCCGGGGUUUACCUCCUUAACGAAGAUUCCCUAUCCCGACCGUUCAUCACUGUGUGUGCUCCUAGAGGUGUGAGUAUGGGGUGGUACCUAGCAGAUCGACUAAGGGCAGGAGAGGGUUGGCGGUUUUUGGGAAGAGUAGGGACUCUGAGCUGCAUCAUAGUUUUGGUAACCUUUCUGAUACAUUCAGAUUCAACACCUUCCGGUACUAAUCAUACAAUACCGUUGUUAUUGAGAAGAAGUAGAAGAUAAACUAUAUAAUACACCGAUGAGUGACAUACAGAAUAAGGAAUCAAAGAAGAUCAAGAUGUAGAAUUUAAGAGAUUCAUGAAUGAAAACGGGGAUGCAGUAAAGAGGUUCUCUGACCAAUUAUCCGCCACCUCCCUCAUGACCUGGUAAAAUAGACUGACUCUCGAUAUGUUAUUGGCAGAAGAGGGCGGUGUAGGUAGAAUGAUUAGGUUCAUCGCUGCAUGUGCAUUCCUGAUAACACAUCUCAUGUUUGGGAAAUGGAAAAGUGUUGUAAGAACUGUAUUAUGGGCUGCUUUCACCUGUAUGAGUGUGUUUGUAUUGUGUGGAUGGUGUUUCAUCCCAUGUGUGAGUGGUUUAAUAACCAGGACUCUAGAGAGAUCGAUGACGCAGCAGAUGGUGAGAUAUGGACCAAUUCAGAGCUCCGAUCAGUGGGAUGGCGAAUGCGGGCCUCCAGGCCAGGAAGAUGGCUCCGUUUCUUUUAAUCAUGAGAUGCCAAUGUUUGAUGAAACCAUUUUCAUCGUUUAGAUUGAAUUUUUAACGUUUAGAUUGACUGUUCCUUUAAUGAAAAUUAUGAUGAAAAUCCUAAAUCGAAGUGUCAUAAUUGGAAAUAGGCCCAGGACAGUCAUUGAGGAGUAGGAGAAAUAUUCAUGUAUUGGUCUUGUUUAAACCUUGUAUCACAAUUGUGUUUCCAUAUAGCGUUUGAUUAUGUGUGAUUACAUAUAGCGUGUGAUUAUUUGUGUUUCCAUAUAGCGUGUGAUUAUGUGUGAUUACAUAUAGCAUGUGAUUAGUAGGGUUCUCAUAUAGCAUUUGAUCAUCAUGGUGAAUUAUUUAAUCAUUUAAGGGUGGAAUUGAUAAGAGAAUUAUCUAAUAGAGGUAAAUGAAUCAAUAAACCAUGAUGAAUCAUUAGUCAUACAGCAUGGUUAAUGAAUAAUCAAUGUAAUGAUCAACGUAGUGAUCGAUUGGUCUGAUUAGUUCCAGAAAGUCCAGGAAUCACUGGAGAGGGAAAGAAAUGUGUGUAUGCAAUUAGUAUAGAGAGCAGGGGACAGAUGGUAAAGGGAGUAAAACUUCAAAGGGUUCCUAACCUUGAGGGAAAGGAACAGGCUGAGCUAGAUAGUGAUAAACAGUGUGUGAAGUCAAUGGGGGAUGCAGGUCACCAACAGUUUGUGUGUAAAUGCAUGUGCGUAAGUAAGCAAGAACUAAAAAAUGACUGUUUUGUU
Molecule: long non-coding RNA, 1504 nt
Filed under: Salmo salar (Atlantic salmon)
Lineage: Eukaryota; Metazoa; Chordata; Actinopteri; Salmoniformes; Salmonidae
Description: lncRNA (ENSSSAG00000121220.1)
Source: RNAcentral